Molecule: ribosomal RNA, 477 nt
Filed under: uncultured bacterium
Lineage: Bacteria
Description: partial 16S ribosomal RNA
Rfam family: Bacterial small subunit ribosomal RNA
Source: RNAcentral
GAUUAACGCUGGCGGCGUGCAUAACACAUGCAAGUCGAACGAUAAAACUUAGUAGACUUCUUCUGAAAGACACUCAGCGGAUUAGUUGCGAACGGGUGAGUAACGCGUGAGUAACCUGCCUUACACAAGGGGAUAGCCUUAGGAAACGAAGAAUAAUACCCUAUCAAACCAUAAAAGCACAUGCUAGAAUGGUCAAAGUGAUAGCGGUGUAAGAUGGACUUGCGUCUGAUUAGCUAGUUGGUGAGAUAAAAGCUCACCAAGGCAACGAUCAGUAGCGGGCUUGAGAGAGGGUACAGCGACAUUGGGACUGGGACACGGCCCAGACUCGUACGAGAGGCAGCAGUGGGGAAUUUUGCACAAGGAGGGAAACCCUGAUGCAGCGAGGCCGCGUGAUUGAGAAGGCCGUCGGGUUGUAAAAAUCUUUUGUAUAGGAAGAAAAUGACAGUACUAUACGAAUAAGGUCCGGCUAAUUACGUG